GGCCUAAAUUUUUUUGGAUUGGACUCAGAUUAUAUAUGAACCUGACCCCGUCCAAAUAAUCCAAUAAGAUAAAGUUUUUGACCAUGGAUCUGAUCCAACCGAACUCGAUCUUUUAUUGGGUUGAGUUUGGUCCAACAUUAAAACCUGAUCAAAAAAUUAGAUUAGGUCAAAAUCACUUACGACUUGAUCUGACCCAACCUAUUUGCAUCCC
This 211-nucleotide long non-coding RNA is filed under the name Elaeis guineensis (African oil palm). RNAcentral's name for it is "long non-coding RNA (EGUI_LNC001487)". The record is from RNAcentral. Lineage: Eukaryota; Viridiplantae; Streptophyta; Magnoliopsida; Arecales; Arecaceae.